CUAAGCACACUGUUGGUUAUGUGUGCCCAAGCAUUGAGGCAGUCAAAGUAGGCAAAUCCGCUUUGAUAAUGCUGGGAUGUGAUGGGGAGCGAAAUUUAGUAGCGAAGUAGCUGAUUUCACACUGUCAAGAAAAGUCUCUAUCGAGGUUAAAGGUACCCGUACCGCAAACCGACACAGGUGGGUGAGGAGAGUAUCCUAAGGCCAGCGAGAGAACUGUUGUUAAGGAACUCGGCAAAAUGACCCCGUAACUUAGGGAUAAGGGGUGCCACCAUCAGGUGGCCGCAGAGAAUAGGCCCAAGCGACUGUUUACCAAAAACAUAGGUUUCUGCUAAGUCGCAAGACGAUGUAUAGGAGCUGACGCCUGCCCGGUGCUGGAAGGUUAAGGGGAUCUGUUAGAGCAAUCGAAGCAGUGAACUUAAGCCCCAGUAAACGGCGGCCGUAACUAUAACGGUCCUAAGGUAGCGAAAUUCCUUGUCGGGUAAGUUCCGACCCGCACGAAAGGCGUAACGAUUUGGGCACUGUCUCAACAACAGACUCGGUGAAAUUGUAAUUCCGGUGAAGAUGCCGGAUACCUGCGACAGGACGGAAAGACCCCAUGGAGCUUUACUGUAGCUUGACAUUGGGUCUUGGUACUACAUGUACAGGAUAGGUGGGAGGCUUUGAAACCAGGACGCCAGUUUUGGCGGAGCCAUCCUUGGGAUACCACCCUUGUAGUACUGGGACUCUAACCAUAGGCCAUGAAUCUGGUCUUGGGACACUGUCAGGUGGGCAGUUUGACUGGGGCGGUCGCCUCCCAAAAGGUAACGGAGGCGCUCAAAGGUUCUCUCAGUACGGUCGGAAAUCGUACGUAGAGUGUAAAGGCAAAAGAGAGCUUGAUUGCAAGACAUACAGGUCGAGCAAGGAUGAAAAUCGGACUUAGUGAUCCGGUGGUUCUGCGUGGAAGGGCCAUCGCUCAACGGAUAAAAGCUACCCUGGGGAUAACAGGCUUAUCUCCCCCAAGAGUCCACAUCGACGGGGAGGUUUGGCACCUCGAUGUCGGCUCAUCACAUCCUGGGGCUGUAGUAGGUCCCAAGGGUUGGGCUGUUCGCCCAUUAAAGUGGUACGCGAGCUGGGUUCAGAACGUCGUGAGACAGUUCGGUCCCUAUCCGUCGCAGGCGUAGGAAAUUUGAGAAGACCUGUCCUUAG
RNAcentral lists this ribosomal RNA (1185 nucleotides) under Clostridioides difficile. Its description in RNAcentral is "partial 23S ribosomal RNA". It matches the Rfam family "Bacterial large subunit ribosomal RNA", at positions 1487 to 2681 of the family's 2925-position model. The record is from RNAcentral. Lineage: Bacteria; Bacillati; Bacillota; Clostridia; Peptostreptococcales; Peptostreptococcaceae.